GAUCAUGGCUCAGGAUGAACGCUGGCGGCGUGCUUAACACAUGCAAGUCGAGCGAAGCGCUUAAGUUUGAUUCUUCGGAUGAAGACUUUUGUGACUGAGCGGCGGACGGGUGAGUAACGUGUGGGUAACCUGCCUCAUACAGGGGGAUAACAGUUAGAAAUGACUGCUAAUACCGCAUAAGACCACGGUACCGCAUGGUACAGUGGUAAAAACUCCGGUGGUAUGAGAUGGACCCGCGU
This 239-nucleotide ribosomal RNA is filed under the name uncultured bacterium. RNAcentral's name for it is "partial 16S ribosomal RNA". It matches the Rfam family "Bacterial small subunit ribosomal RNA", at positions 15 to 236 of the family's 1533-position model. The record is from RNAcentral.